Molecule: ribosomal RNA, 408 nt
Filed under: uncultured bacterium
Lineage: Bacteria
Description: bacterial SSU rRNA
Rfam family: Bacterial small subunit ribosomal RNA
Source: RNAcentral
AAGGCUUGACAUGUCGGCGAUUCCCGCGGAGACGCGGUCUCCCCCUUGUGGGGCGCCGUCACAGGUGGUGCAUGGUUGUCGUCAGCUCGUGUCGUGAGAUGUUGGGUUAAGUCCCGCAACGAGCGCAACCCCUGUCCCGUGUUGCCAGCACGUCGUGGUGGGGACUCGCGGGAGACUGCCGGGGUCAACUCGGAGGAGGGUGGGGAUGACGUCAAAUCAUCAUGCCCCUUAUGUCUUGGGCUUCACGCAUGCUACAAUGGCCGGUACAGAGGGUUGCGAUGCCGCGAGGCGGGGCGAAUCCCUUAAAGCCGGUCUCAGUUCGGAUCGGUGUCUGCAACUCGACACCGUGAAGUUGGAGUCGCUAGUAAUCGCGGAUCAGCAACGCCGCGGUGAAUACGUUCUCGGGCC